This is a non-coding RNA of Pelobates cultripes (western spadefoot toad), 76 nucleotides long. NCBI's taxonomy places the organism in Eukaryota, Metazoa, Chordata, Amphibia, Anura, Pelobatidae. The record is from the annotation of a GenBank genome assembly.
CGUGAGAUAACAUGCUUCUUUAUAUGCCCAUAUGAUUUACGUUAUUAUGGAAUGUAAGGAAGUGUGUGGUGUCACU